RNAcentral lists this ribosomal RNA (497 nucleotides) under uncultured bacterium. RNAcentral's name for it is "partial 16S ribosomal RNA". It matches the Rfam family "Bacterial small subunit ribosomal RNA", at positions 28 to 507 of the family's 1533-position model. The record is from RNAcentral.
GAUGAACGCUGGCGGCGUGCCUAAUACAUGCAAGUCGAGCGAACAGACGAGGAGCUUGCUCCUCUGACGUUAGCGGCGGACGGGUGAGUAACACGUGGAUAACCUCCCUAUAAGACUGGGAUAACUUCGGGAAACCGGAGCUAAUACCGGAUAAUAUAUUGAACCGCAUGGUUCAAUAGUGAAAGACGGUUUUGCUGUCACUUAUAGAUGGAUCCGCGCCGCAUUAGCUAGUUGGUAAGGUAACGGCUUACCAAGGCAACGAUGCGUAGCCGACCUGAGAGGGUGAUCGGCCACACUGGAACUGAGACACGGUCCAGACUCCUACGGGAGGCAGCAGUAUGGAAUCUUCCGCAAUGGGCGAAAGCCUGACGGAGCAACGCCGCGUGAGUGAUGAAGGUCUUCGGAUCGUAAAACUCUGUUAUUAGGGAAGAACAAAUGUGGAAGUAACUAUGCACGUCUUGACGGUACCUAAUCAGAAAGCCACGGCUAACUACGUG